GGGGCAGAGCUUGGCGAGCGCCGAUUGGGCGGCUCGGCCUGGGUGGGCGGGACGCGGACCGCGGGGCGGGCCACGUGUCGGAACAGUGCAAAACGGUGACCCUGCCUUGGAAAGGGGCGGGAGGACCGGAGCGGCGUGAGUCCCGGCUCGGAGCGGACAUGGCAGCUGUGAGGCCCAACCUGGGCCGAGUGCUCCCUGGGUCGUCUAUCCUCUUCCUGUGUGACAUGCAGGAGAAGUUCCGCCAUGUCGCCUGCUUCCCCCAGAUAGUCUCUGUGGCCGCCCGAAUGCUCAAGGUGGCCAGGCUGCUGGAGGUACCGGCUGUGCUGACGGAGCAGUACCCAGAAGGCCUGGGCCCCACGGUGCCCGAGCUGGGUGCUGAAGGCCUGCGGCCACUGGCCAAAACUUGCUUCAGCAUGGUGCCCGCGGUGCAACAGGAGCUGGACACGCGGCCCCAGCUGCGCUCCGUGCUCCUCUGUGGCAUUGAGACCCAGGCCUGCAUCUUGAACACGACCUUGGACCUCCUGGACCGGGGGCUGCAGGUCCAUGUGGUGGUGGAUGCCUGCUCCUCCCGCAGCCAGGUGGACAGGCUGGUGGCACUGGCCCGGAUGCGGCAGAGCGGCGCCUUCCUCUCCACCAGUGAGGGGCUCAUUCUGCAGCUUGUGGGUGACGCCGCCCACCCCCAGUUUAAGGAGAACCGGAGUGGGCCAUGCUGAGUGCUCGGUGAGUGUGACAGGGGAGGAGGCAGAGAGGAGCCAGAUCCGUGUCUUCCCGGAGUGGAGGGGUUUGCACAAGGGAGCUGGCCAGAGUCAGAUCUGCAGAUCCAGAAGAUCAUCAAGGAGCCCGCGCCAGACAGCGGGCUGCUGGGCCUCUUCCAAGGCCAGAACCCCCUCUUCCGCUGAACUCCUCACCCUGAAGACCACCCUCCUGUCAUCUGGACCUCAGUGGAAUCACUUUGCCCCCAUCCUUGGAAUCCCAACAGUGGUGCAGUCCACCGGGAGUGCCACCCCCUCGGGAGGGGAGGUGGAGAGCUACCUUGCCAUUGGGCCAGAGCUCCCGGAAAUGCAAAUGAGACUCGUGGAAGCUGGGCGGCAGUUGGCUGAGCAGAGGUGGGGGCGGGGCUCGGCCCCGGGCCACUUCAAGAGGCGGGAAGGGGAGGGGGAGGGAGUGUCACAGGCUGUGGGACCCGGACUUGCCGAAUAAACAUUGAUGUGGCUGU
Molecule: RNA transcript, 1216 nt
Organism: Acinonyx jubatus (cheetah)
Lineage: Eukaryota; Metazoa; Chordata; Mammalia; Carnivora; Felidae
Gene: ISOC2
Gene name: isochorismatase domain containing 2
Exons: 7
Source: RefSeq, a predicted model, not a curated record